UGCAGUCGACGAUGAAGCUGGAGCUUGCUCUGGUGGAUUAGUGGCGAACGGGUGAGUAACACGUGAGCAACCUGCCCCUGACUCUGGGAUAACAGCCGGAAACGGCUGCUAAUACCGGAUAUGCACCAUGAACGCAUGUUCUGUGGUGGGAAAGAUUUUUCGGUUGGGGAUGGGCUCGCGGCCUAUCAGCUUGUUGGUGAGGUAAUGGCUCACCAAGGCGUCGACGGGUAGCCGGCCUGAGAGGGUGACCGGCCACACUGGGACUGAGACACGGCCCAGACUCCUACGGGAGGCAGCAGUGGGGAAUAUUGCACAAUGGGCGAAAGCCUGAUGCAGCAACGCCGCGUGAGGGAUGACGGCCUUCGGGUUGUAAACCUCUUUUAGCAGGGAAGAAGCGAGAGUGACGGUACCUGCAGAAAAAGCGCCGGCUAACUACGUGCCAGCAGCCGCGGUAAUACGUAGGGCGCAAGCGUUAUCCGGAAUUAUUGGGCGUAAAGAGCUCGUAGGCGGUUUGUCGCGUCUGCUGUGAAAACUGGAGGCUCAACCUCCAGCCUGCAGUGGGUACGGGCAGACUAGAGUGCGGUAGGGGAGAUUGGAAUUCCUGGUGUAGCGGUGGAAUGCGCAGAUAUCAGGAGGAACACCGAUGGCGAAGGCAGAUCUCUGGGCCGUAACUGACGCUGAGGAGCGAAAGGGUGGGGAGCAAACAGGCUUAGAUACCCUGGUAGUCCACC
Molecule: ribosomal RNA, 731 nt
Filed under: Microbacterium petrolearium
Lineage: Bacteria; Bacillati; Actinomycetota; Actinomycetes; Micrococcales; Microbacteriaceae
Description: bacterial SSU rRNA
Rfam family: Bacterial small subunit ribosomal RNA
Source: RNAcentral